UUCGGUUAAUGAAUUGUUGACAUAUCCCGACGAUUUUGGUCAUAACUUUUAUUCCGUAAUUCCGAUUUUAAUGUUGUUUGAAGUGUUAGAAAGUUAAUGCUAAUACAUAUAAUAUGGUAGUGGAUGUUGAUAUGUUUUAAUAAUAUUAACAUGCCUAGUAUGUUAAUAUAAGUAUUUGUUUAUACGUUUGGUUGAUGAAUCGUUGCAUUGUUGUAAUAUCGUGGUGUGAUAAUUAUGUUGUUAUAUCGGUGAUGUUAAG
Molecule: long non-coding RNA, 259 nt
Filed under: Lathyrus oleraceus (garden pea)
Lineage: Eukaryota; Viridiplantae; Streptophyta; Magnoliopsida; Fabales; Fabaceae
Description: Pisum sativum (pea) long non-coding RNA (PSAT_LNC038248)
Source: RNAcentral